GCGAUCCCAGACGCGGUCCUACACACGAGGUGUCUUACUUGCCGGUCCAGCCUCGUCCGUCCGCCAUCGGACCAGUUCUCUGUCCACGGAAUCGCAGCGAGCGACUCGGUAAUGGCAAUAUGCAGCAUCAUCGGCGAGCCGUAAAAGCCGGCUUCCUCGGCCAGCCGGCCGACACGACUGUCGUACAGUUCGUGGCUGUAAUGGCUAUCGGGGCGCUGACGUAUGUCCAUCCAGUCGAUGCAGCGAGCGAUCGCGCCGCCGCAACCCAAGGCGCACGCGGCCGCCAACUCUUUUGAUGCCACCAACUCGCGCGAGCGCGCCAGCCGGCCCGUCGACCAUUGCUUGAGACGCUCAUCAUGCUCUCUGAGAGCCAUGGAUCUGCAGAGGAACAAGAGCGGCCGCAGAUCGGACAGACCCUCUUGGGUAGACUGUGGUGGCGGUGGCGUGACCACCUGUGCAACAGGGUCGUAGGUGGGGCUGUCAAUGUGCCGCUGGAGUUGGAGCGUGCCCGAGAAGGCCAUCAGACCGAGUCGUCUGGCAGUGCCCGCGGCAUCGUCGUCGCGUACCGCCUUGACGACGUGUGCAUAGUGGGUGCGUGAGCACUGUGCGAGUGAACCGAUAUCCCACGGACGAACAUGGGCAAGGACGGCCAAAAACAAGUCUGGGUGAUGCUUCCACAGACCCGCCAGCAGAUCGUCUUGAGGAUGAAGUGGUCGGGCCGCGACUGGACCAUGCGAGGCCUCUGGUUCAUGAGCGAGGUCGACCUCGUCACCGAUAAUGUCGAGGCUUUCCAACGCAAUGUCACGAGACGGAUCAGUCGGAUCGCCUAGGUAAAGGGCAAACUUUUGAAGCGGCACGUCGUCGUCCUCCAGGCCGAAUAAACUAGACCCAAUUGUGACAAAUCGAGUCAGCAGGCCAAGCAUGUAGAGGCGCAUCACGUCUGCCGCCCUGAUGUGUGUCGAUGGCACGGGCCAGCAUCAGACGGGUCUGGUCUAUCGAUUCACGCGGGUAGAUCGACCAUUCGGCCAUCUGCGCGUCAUGGUCCAACCUUGUCUCUCGCGCCGUGCACACGAUCGCUCGCGCCGGCCCACGGCACACGGCCAUGCAAUCAUGGUGCGGUGGCAGACCCUCGGCGGGUCUGGUCAGACCCUUUGCAAAUGCCUCGACGGCAGUCGUGGCGAUCUCCAUGCAGUCUUUCACUGGGAAUUGCGACGCCCAGCGCGGACCCCAUGUAUUGCUGGCGUACUCGGCCAGGGUGUGAGUGUGUUCUUUGGCGCGCCGUCCAAUCUCGGUGUGCGCGCGCUCCAACAGCGGCAUGGAACACAGUCGCCCGGCAGCAUAGGCAAUGUCGACGACGGGCAUCCACAUGUCAGUGUCGGCAAUGUCCACGACUGCCGAUGCGUCGGCGGGCCUCUCUGUGUAGGGAUGUCUGUUGUCAAUGUCGAGGAGCCACUCGGUGACGUGAGUGAGCGCCGUUCGCGCACGCACGCCCUCGCUCAGUCGGCUAUAGCAGCGCCCCAGGGCUUCGGCGCGUGAGGCGACUGCCAGGCAUCGGCUCACGCCAGUGUCGCCCUCUUUUAGCGUCGCCUCGACGAGCGUAUCGCGCAAAAGAAACACGCCGCGUCCGGCCGUGACUGUGGCAACGAGCGGUGCGGGCACGGACGACGGCUCGACAUCGGCAGUAGCCAGACAAAAGAUCGCUUCGGCGGCCUCUAUAGCCUCCUCGACUCGGCGCAGCCUGACACCAAAGGCCAAAGCCUGACCGUUUUCUUCCACGUCGUCCAUCGGCACAACGGGGGUCAAGUCGGCGCAAGUCGAGUCAAAGGGAGCAACACGACCCAUGUGCAUGGUCGAUGCGCCAUCUGCCGCCAAUGUCUCGGCGACAGCGGCGAGCCCCACAACCGCCACGCCUGCGGCUGGCUCAACAACUGUGGGCAAAACAUCAGGCGGGAUGAUUUCGCACGCCUCCAUGGCCUUUGUGGUGGUGAUGAUGCUAUCCCCUGGCACCGCCGUCGUGGGUCCUUGGCUUUUGUCGUGCUCCAUUUUGCUUUCGGCUCACGACAGCAAGUAAUGGCAUUGUGCAGUUCGAACCUUGCAGACGAUUGAUUUGGCCGCAACCAAGCCGACCCAUCCAGAAAAUUGCUUGGCCAAGGACGUCGAGCAGCACAACCGAUGCUGUGUCAACGGUCUGUUCUCCCAGUUUCCUACCAAUAAAAAUUCAAAGCACA
RNAcentral lists this long non-coding RNA (2228 nucleotides) under Pandoravirus celtis. Its description in RNAcentral is "hypothetical ncRNA". The record is from RNAcentral.